GGUGGCUCAAUGGUAGAGUGCUUGCCUCAUAUGCAUGAGGCUCUGGGCUCGAUUCCUUAGCACCA
RNAcentral lists this transfer RNA (65 nucleotides) under Dipodomys ordii (Ord's kangaroo rat). It matches the Rfam family "tRNA". Rfam says of the family: Transfer RNA (tRNA) molecules are approximately 80 nucleotides in length. Their secondary structure includes four short double-helical elements and three loops (D, anti-codon, and T loops). Further hydrogen bonds mediate the characteristic L-shaped molecular structure. tRNAs have two regions of fundamental functional importance: the anti-codon, which is responsible for specific mRNA codon recognition, and the 3' end, to which the tRNAs corresponding amino acid is attached (by aminoacyl-tRNA synthetases). tRNAs cope with the degeneracy of the genetic code in two manners: having more than one tRNA (with a specific anti-codon) for a particular amino acid; and 'wobble' base-pairing, i.e. permitting non-standard base-pairing at the 3rd anti-codon position. The record is from Rfam by way of RNAcentral. Lineage: Eukaryota; Metazoa; Chordata; Mammalia; Rodentia; Heteromyidae.